UACGUAGGGGCCAAGCGUUGUCCGGAUUUAUUGGGCGUAAAGAGCUCGUAGGCGGUUGGGUAAGUCGGGUGUGAAAACUCCAGGCUCAACUUGGAGAUGCCACCCGAUACUGCUCUGACUUGAGUUCGGUAGGGGAGUGGGGAAUUCCUGGUGUAGCGGUGAAAUGCGCAGAUAUCAGGAGGAACACCGGUGGCGAAGGCGGGUCUCUGGGCCGAUACUGACGCUGAGGAGCGAAAGCGUGGGUAGCAAACAGG
RNAcentral lists this ribosomal RNA (254 nucleotides) under uncultured bacterium. RNAcentral describes it as "partial 16S ribosomal RNA". It matches the Rfam family "Bacterial small subunit ribosomal RNA", at positions 524 to 776 of the family's 1533-position model. The record is from RNAcentral.